AUUGAACGCUGGCGGCAGGCCUAACACAUGCAAGUCGAACGGUAACAGGAAGCAGCUUGCUGCUUCGCUGACGAGUGGCGGACGGGUGAGUAAUGUCUGGGAAACUGCCUGAUGGAGGGGGAUAACUACUGGAAACGGUAGCUAAUACCGCAUAACGUCGCAAGACCAAAGAGGGGGACCUUAGGGCCUCUUGCCAUCGGAUGUGCCCAGAUGGGAUUAGCUAGUAGGUGGGGUACCGGCUCACCUAGGCGACGAUCCCUAGCUGGGCUGAGAGGAUGACCAGCCACACUGGAACUGAGACACGGUCCAGACUACUACGGGAGGCAGCAGUGGGGAAUAUUGCACAAUGGGCCCAAGCCUGAUGCAGCCAUGCCGCGUGUAUGAAGAAGGCCUUCGGGUUGUAAAGUACUUUCAGCGGGGAGGAAGGGAGUAAAGUUAAUACCUUUUCUCAUUGACGUUACCCGCAGAAGAAGCACCGGCUAACUCCGUG
Molecule: ribosomal RNA, 490 nt
Filed under: uncultured bacterium
Lineage: Bacteria
Description: partial 16S ribosomal RNA
Rfam family: Bacterial small subunit ribosomal RNA
Source: RNAcentral